AGGCGCAUAAGGAUCUCAAAACACUAUUUUUGAUGCCUAGGUGCAAAGUUGCUGACGAUUAUGGGAUUAUGAUUGUGAUUUCUGUGGGGAUCAAUACUAAAUGGGGAUUAUUGAUGGCCAGUAUAUCGGAAGGCAGUGGUGAACAAACUACAUUAUAGUCUUGCCUACUCAAUGAAGAAGAUGAUGGAAGCAAAGCAUUGAUAUGCUUCUCUUCUUAUCAAACUAGAAUCCAUACGUUCAACUAUUAGUAAGUUGCUACGUUACAGUUUCGAAGGCUAUCAGCUUGUGAAACGAUUGGAUCUACCACUACCAUCUGCAACGAUAAAACUGGAACUUUAACAUUG
This is a long non-coding RNA of Dendrobium catenatum, 344 nucleotides long. RefSeq lists it as uncharacterized. The record is from RefSeq and is a predicted model, not a curated record. NCBI's taxonomy places the organism in Eukaryota, Viridiplantae, Streptophyta, Magnoliopsida, Asparagales, Orchidaceae. The transcript is spliced from 3 exons.